UACGAAGGGGGCUAGCGUUGUUCGGAAUUACUGGGCGUAAAGCGCAUGUAGGCGGCAGCGCAAGUCGGGCGUGAAAUCCCACGGCUCAACCGUGGAAGUGCACUCGAAACUGCGCAGCUAGAGUCCUGGAGAGGAAGGUGGAAUGCUUGGUGUAGAGGUGAAAUUCGUAGAUAUCAAGCGGAACACCGGUGGCGAAGGCGGCCUUCUGGACAGUGACUGACGCUGAGAUGCGAAAGCGUGGGGAGCAAACAGG
This 253-nucleotide ribosomal RNA is filed under the name uncultured bacterium. RNAcentral describes it as "partial 16S ribosomal RNA". It matches the Rfam family "Bacterial small subunit ribosomal RNA", at positions 524 to 776 of the family's 1533-position model. The record is from RNAcentral.